ACGCUCGACACCUACGCAGGCAGCAGUGGGGAAUAUUGCACAAUGGGGGAAACCCUGAUGCAGCGACGCCGCGUGAAGGAAGAAGUAUCUCGGUAUGUAAACUUCUAUCAGCAGGGAAGAAAGUGACGGUACCUGACUAAGAAGCCCCGGCUAACUACGUGCCGGCAGCCGCGGUAAUCUGAGCGGGCUGGCAAGGC
RNAcentral lists this ribosomal RNA (197 nucleotides) under uncultured bacterium. Its description in RNAcentral is "partial 16S ribosomal RNA". It matches the Rfam family "Bacterial small subunit ribosomal RNA", at positions 326 to 539 of the family's 1533-position model. The record is from RNAcentral.